CACCCCAUGUGCUCAAAUUGGUAUUUUAAUUAUAUUGAAUUUACACUCUUCUAUUCAGUGUGCAUUUGCCAAUUUUAUAAUUCAAACUUUUAUGUUUCUUUUAUGUUACUUAAAAUAAUGCUGUUAGCCCCAGCAGAUUUAUGACUGAAUUGAGAUUGAAAGGAGUUAUCAUCAUUAUUAUAAUUAGCCUUUCUGCAAAGCUUCUUAAAAAAUGGAUGCUUUUUUUCUUUUCAAAAAUACAUAGCAAAGAAAAUUGGUUUGUUUCGUCUUGUUUUUGUUUUUUUGCUCUCACCCACUCAGAUUACUAUUAUUAUAUUUUAUUUUUGUUAUUGACUUUUGAGCCAGUGUGGUAAAACAAAGUACAGUUCUAAACGUGCAUUUGUGAAUCUACAUCUGUAAUUCAUGAUGAUGGUGUCCGAUAAAUGAACAUGCUAACACGCAAACACAAUAACAUAAUUUGUCUGUGCGAAAUACUAAACAGCAGCGCAUUAGCACUGAAAUGAGUGUUAAUGAGUCAUGACGGGUAUCCUGGCUGGUCCACUGAUAUUAAGUUCUCACACAACAAGCCAGUCUAGCACCAACAUGAGUUUGAAGUUUUAUUUUUUUUUACUUUAGGAUAAAUUUCAAUGUUAGCACAUGAUGACUCCCGGAAUGUGAAUCUAGAAUCUGUUUCACAUGUCGCUAUUUUGUGUAGAAGGCACUGACAUGUAAUGUUGGGAUGAAAAUGUUUGACCUUCGGAGGGAGUAUCAGCCACAACAGACACCUGUUUGUGUGUGUGCGUGUGUGUGUGUGUGUGUUGGGGGGGGGGGGGUGAAGCUCUGCUAUGUUUGGUGGGUAGGGACCAAGUGAUGCCCUGCCAUCCUCAAAGGCUUUUAGUUGCCUGUAGAUGUCACAAUAUGGCGCCAAAGCACUGGUUUUGUCUAAAUGAAACACUUCAACUCACUUCCAAUCGAUCCUUGACACAAAAAUGCCACGCAAUUGUCACAAAAUAAUACUUUUAUUGCUUUGGCCUAAGCACCAAGACCGCAAAAUAUGUGGAUUUUUCAGUGAAUAUCUGAGGACAGGUUUAAAGAAAAAAAAAAGCGAACAUGUGAGUUGGCGACUCUCGAACCCAAAAAAUAAAUGAAUACUCACGUGACACAAAACAGCACAGUAUUCAUUUAUUUUUUGCUGUCCAUUAUUUAUUUAUGUACCGAAAUUAAUUAUUUUGCUGUCCAAGACUAGGCAUUAUUGUGUGAAGACACAGUUGCGGCAAUAUCUGAGUGUAAGUAUCUUGAGUGCAAGAGGCUUCCGUUUUUUAAACCAUGCUGAAAAUUGAACCUAGCGAGUUCUCAUAUUUGCUAAUUUAUACAAAACACAAUUCGGCAUCAUGACAAUAUGUGAUUAAAAUCCAUCCAGCCUUGUUACUGGACCGAAAAAGUGCAACAUUACAACAUCGCCCCCGGGCCGACACUCUAUAAUGUGAAAACAUCAAAUUGCAGUGCCCACACACACACACACACACACACAUAUUUGUGGCAUUGAGUAUGCAGAGAGACGCUUGAUGACACGCGUGAAGCAGUCACCCACACGCCUCGUCAAGCUCACGCAUCUCAUGCGUCCAGCUGCUCCCUCUCCAUCUCAGGAGGCCUCCCUCCCACCUGUGUCACCGCUCGGCUGUUACACCUCCACACAUUUUGUCAUGCAUCCAUGGCGGAUUCAAAUUUUGCCUCACAGUACCAGUGGUGUAGAUGAUCAGACCUAGAAAAAGCCAGCAUGUAAACUAUUUGCAUUUGGGUAGACGAGGCAUUAGAAGUUGGUUCGUCAUCACAAGUUACCAUGACAGUUUGGGACAAUUGUAUGCAGCCAAGUUGGGAACAAUAUGGCGGAGGCCCUUUUUUUUAUGUCAAGCCGUGCUUGAUUAAGGUGUGGGAAAAUAUUUCCAUUAAGGCCAGAGAUUAGAUUUGUUGAAUAAAUUGUGAGUUUCCCAUCUAGUAAAUUCUAUAUUAGGCGAGACAAAAUGUAUCGGACCGGCAAGGUCAAUUGUUUUGUUUUGUUUGUAUAAUAGACAAUAGCCCUUUCAGGGACAGCGGUUACCAGAGUGGACAGCUUAUCGUGUUAUCAGGUUGCAGGUUAUCAUUAUUGGUGCAUGAAAAAGGGAUAGACAAAUAUGAGACAAAAGUUCCAAAGUGCAGCUUUUAUUUAGUGGUAUUUACAUCUCUUGGUGUU
Hippocampus zosterae (dwarf seahorse) is the source of this 2209-nucleotide long non-coding RNA. RefSeq lists it as uncharacterized. The transcript is spliced from 2 exons. NCBI's taxonomy places the organism in Eukaryota, Metazoa, Chordata, Actinopteri, Syngnathiformes, Syngnathidae. The record is from RefSeq and is a predicted model, not a curated record.